UGUAGUCCAAUGGUAGGACAACGCACUGUUAAUGCGUCAUAUGCGGGUUCGAGCCCCGCCGAUGA
RNAcentral lists this transfer RNA (65 nucleotides) under Deltaproteobacteria bacterium. RNAcentral describes it as "tRNA-Asn". It matches the Rfam family "tRNA", at positions 6 to 65 of the family's 71-position model. Rfam says of the family: Transfer RNA (tRNA) molecules are approximately 80 nucleotides in length. Lineage: Bacteria; Pseudomonadati; Myxococcota; Myxococcia. The record is from RNAcentral.